CAGGUACCAAUGUAAGAUAGUUGCCAUUCCUUCAAGUGUCGUGGUUCUGACUUCAGAGACCUUUGACUCAAUUGUCCUUGAUGAAACCAAAGAUGUCCUUGUUGAGUUUUAUGCCCCAUGGUGUGGUCACUGCAAGCAUCUUGCUCCGAUUUAUGAGAAGCUGGCUUCAGUUUUCAAACAGGACGACGGUGUUGUGAUUGCCAAUCUUGAUGCUGACAAGCACACUGACUUGGCUGAAAAAUAUGGUGUUUCUGGUUUCCCUACAUUGAAGUUCUUCCCUAAGGGAAACAAAGUCGGUGAAGAUUAUGAUGGUGGCCGGGACUUGGAUGACUUUGUCAAGUUCAUUAAUGAGAAGUGUGGCACCAGCCGGGAUCCAAAGGGCCACCUGA
Long non-coding RNA from Zea mays, 389 nucleotides. RefSeq lists it as uncharacterized. The record is from RefSeq and is a predicted model, not a curated record. Lineage: Eukaryota; Viridiplantae; Streptophyta; Magnoliopsida; Poales; Poaceae. The transcript is spliced from 4 exons.